UCGGGACUCAGCAGGAAUUUCUAAUCUAAGACGAUUCAUUGCGUAUCUGAAUUCAUACGAGUCGCAUUUCAGAAAUACCCUGGCUACUCUACACUUCCGCAAUUUGAAAACUGAUAAGGAAAAGAAAUAUAGAUUUAUAGAAAAGUGUCACUGAACUUUUUUUCAUAGAGUGAUAUACCACUGUCAGUAUAGUAAGCACAGUAUUGUGGCGCCCGUGAUAAAGCUGGUUGAUACCAAGUACUUUCGGAAUAUAUUUAUACGCUGUACGUAGGACGUUGACCAAUGAUCGAACGCAUUUUGUUGUUGGUCGUCUAGUUCGACAAACGGCAAGCACUCACACGUGACUCACACGAUAUUUUAGUCAAUUUAGUUCAUCGAUGGCACCGGCAUGCUUCUUCUGCAAUUGUUUUCCACCGCACUCAUCAUCGCCGUGAAUAAGUGGAUGCUUUUAACGCUUUCUGUCUCCACGCUAUGAACGCUAUUCUGCAGAAUGAUGAUGGGGAAAGAGAUCGAACGGGUCUGAUUUUGUAUGCGUGCUUAAUUGCGAACACGACCGAGCUUUCGACAAACCACGUGCAUUAAACUCGCCUCAAGUUUUCUGCCCCCUCGGACUCGAUGUUCAGUGCGUGUAGAAGUUACUCGGCGACGUGGAUCGUGAAAUCACAUAUGAGUUGAAAAAUUUUCUACAGUAGCCAAGUGGUCCGAACUGUAUAUAGAACGUGUGUCAGAACUAGUUACAAGUUCGGAAGGUCUAUUUUGAACAGAUACCUGGAUAUCGGAUAUUAUGCACUCGGCGGAAAGGACAGCCUCUAUCAUCCAACCAGUCCUGGAAUAAUGCUUUACACAGUAAGCACGCGUAUGGAUUUUCUUUGCAACAAGUGCUUUUAUGGACUAUAGAGUGGACUGAUAUUCAAGGAUAUACCGAUGCCGAACUCAGCGGUCCGAUGCAGCCGAUAGUCAAGGGGCCGUCUCCUCCGUUCAUAAAUCAAGGUAUGAAGCGAAAGAUUGUUUUAGACUAUUAGUAAAAGUCGCUAGGGAAGGUAAA
This 1045-nucleotide long non-coding RNA is filed under the name Varroa destructor (honeybee mite). RNAcentral's name for it is "uncharacterized LOC111250252, transcript variant X2". Lineage: Eukaryota; Metazoa; Arthropoda; Arachnida; Mesostigmata; Varroidae. The record is from RNAcentral.